GAAACUUGGAUGGAGUCUGAUUACUGUAGAAAUCUCAUUGUCAGAGAAGCUCGGAUAUUGAUAAAGUCCGAAAGAAGUUCAGAGAAUAGUUGAUCACUGUAGAAGGUCGGCUGAUAGUGAGGCCCAGAGAGCCUUUGGAGCGGUCCGGUAGAUGGAUGGAGAAGUUCAUCGUCGGAGAAGUCCGGACGGUAUUAUGGAAGCUCGGACGGUCGAGGAGAUUCAGAGAGAUGCCACACA
RNAcentral lists this long non-coding RNA (237 nucleotides) under Elaeis guineensis (African oil palm). Its description in RNAcentral is "long non-coding RNA (EGUI_LNC031331)". Lineage: Eukaryota; Viridiplantae; Streptophyta; Magnoliopsida; Arecales; Arecaceae. The record is from RNAcentral.